This 459-nucleotide ribosomal RNA is filed under the name uncultured bacterium. Its description in RNAcentral is "partial 16S ribosomal RNA". It matches the Rfam family "Bacterial small subunit ribosomal RNA", at positions 338 to 795 of the family's 1533-position model. The record is from RNAcentral.
CCUACGGGGUGCAGCAGUGAGGAAUAUUGGUCAAUGGGCGGGAGCCUGAACCAGCAAAGCCGCGUGAGGGAAGAAGGUACAGCGUAUCGUAAACCUCUUUUGUCAGGGAACAAAGGCGGGGACUAGUCCCCGGAUGAGGGUACCUGAAGAAACAGCAUCGGCUAACUCCGUGCCAGCAGCCGCGGUAAUACGGAGGAUGCGAGCGUUAUCCGGAUUUAUUGGGUUUAAAGGGUGCGCAGGCGGCCUGUUAAGUCAGCGGUAACAGCCCGGGGCUCAACGCCGGCGAGCCGUUGAAACUGGGAGGCUGGAGUGGGAGAGAGGUGCGCGGAAUGCGCGGUGUAGCGGUGAAAUGCGUAGAUAUCGCGCAGAACCCCGGGUGCGAAGGCAGCGUACCGGCUCCACACUGACGCUGAGGCACGAAAGCGUGGGUAUCGAACAGGAUUAGAUACCCGAGUAGUC